GGCCAGCGUGUGGUCGACACAUGUGUGUCCGUGAUGUCGAGUAGAUCGAUUUUAUAUAUUUAAACCCUAGGUUUGAGCUAACUAUGGGGGUUUUAUUUAGGUUUCCGUUAUGUGCUUUAAUUAAUUUUAUUUUAGUUAUUUCACAUAUAGGGGAAACUUAUCCCGAGGAUUUACUAGGCCAAGCUAGGUUCAGGGGCUACGACCCUGCAACGUACUUGUUUAGGUUUCCGUUAUGUGCUUUAAUUAAUUUUAUUUUAGUUAUUUCACAUAUAGGGGAAACUUAUCCCGAGGAUUUACGAGGCCAAGCUAGGUUCAGGGGCUACGACCCUGCAACGUACUUGUGAGUAGGCAAUUUAUUUUUAUAUCUGUACAUAAUUAUAGUUUCCAAACUUUCAUAAAUGCAUCACUUUGCAUAUAUAUUGCCAAAUAAUUGACAACUGCGAUAUAAUUGUGAUAAAUGCUGCUAUAUGGUUGAGAUAUUACUGUCAUGGCAUUCAUACAUAUUUGUAUAUGCUCAUCUUGCUGCACCCCGGUGUUAGUACUCGCCCUAUGGCUAGGGCCAAUCCUUCACGUGUAUGUUCACAUCGCACCAUUCGCUUGCCUUGGAUCCAAGUUAGGUGCCAAUCAUGUCGGGUAGAUUGCAUUAGGCAAUCCGACUGGUAUGUGACCAUGCUUCUGCACUAGCCUUCAUGUGAUCUUAGUACUAGAGCAUAUUGAUUACACCCAAUCAUGUUCGUGUCAGAAAUUAUCUGUUCAAACUUGUGUGUGUCAGCUUAGAUGGAUGAGCACUUAGCUAUACUUGAUUAUCACAUGAUUAUAUUAUUGUGGCAUUUGAUACAUCAUAACUUGGCAUAUAUUUGGUCAUAACUCAGUUAUAGUAUUGUUGAUUUAUUGUUUACAUACCUAUGUAGUAUGUUUUAAGGAAACUAUACUUGUUUUACGGCGAGGGGUUAGUAUAUUCAAAGAUAGAGGUUUUCUUAUAAGCAUUGUUUUGCUGACUCACUCAACUUUGUUUUUCGCCCCUCCAGGACCUAGAUAGUUGUACUAUUUAUGGCACUCGAGGAAUCUCGGCAGUUCUGACAUUUCCUUCUGUUUAAAUGUACGAACUUAUCAUUGUUAUGUAAUAAGUGUACUUUAGUUAUUUUGACUACUUUUCUUUAAUCUCACUGUCUAUUACGCUCUGAAUAAUUGUAGUGGGUUCACCCCAUGAUUGCGCACUCUUUCACUGUUUAGUUCUAAUUAGUUUUAAUUUUAUUCACUUACCCUUAUGGUUAUGUCACCUCUCGAUGAUGGUCAGCAUGCUUCGACCUUUCCAGGUCGGGGUGUGUCAGUUUGGUAUCAAAGCAUAGGUUUAGACAGUCCUGCACUUCCUAGUGUGUUUUAACUCUUGUUUUCUUAUGUCAGAACCAUGCCUCCUCGUAGAGAGCUACGUUCUCCAGCUAAGAAUAACUUUCCGGACUUUAGGCAGUUUGGUGAGGCUAUCGCUAAUGCUAUUUAGUCUUCACUCCAUCCUACCCCAAGGAAUACUCUGGAUAUUGUAUCUCGCCUGAAGAUUAAUGAUUUCUUCGGUAAUGAAGGAUUGGAGAAGUCAGAGAUAUGGUUCGAUCAUGUGGAGAAGAUCUUUCGAGUUAUGCAUAGGCAGGGUAAUCUUCCUCUAUAGAGAUGGGUCGAGACAGUGACCUGGUUCUUUCUGUUAGGAGCAGAAUCUUGGGGGGAUCAUGAAAGGAAAUCAUUAUCUGAUGAGGAUUUUAUAAAAUGGGAUGUUUUCAAGUGGAUAUUUCAAACUAGAUUUGUUCAUUCGGAGUAUUUGGGUAGUAAGAAGAAUGAGUUCACAGACCUGAGGCAGGGCAAAAUGUCAACCACUGAGUAUCAUCAAAGGUUUACAGACUUAUCUCAUUAUUG
This 1902-nucleotide long non-coding RNA is filed under the name Malus domestica (apple). RNAcentral describes it as "long non-coding RNA (MDOM_LNC017008)". Lineage: Eukaryota; Viridiplantae; Streptophyta; Magnoliopsida; Rosales; Rosaceae. The record is from RNAcentral.